This 719-nucleotide ribosomal RNA is filed under the name Pseudomonadota bacterium. Its description in RNAcentral is "bacterial SSU rRNA". It matches the Rfam family "Bacterial small subunit ribosomal RNA", at positions 29 to 739 of the family's 1533-position model. Lineage: Bacteria; Pseudomonadati; Pseudomonadota. The record is from RNAcentral.
AUGAACGCUGGCGGAAUGCUUUACACAUGCAAGUCGAACGGCAGCACGGAGAGCUUGCUCUCUGGUGGCGAGUGGCGAACGGGUGAGUAAUAUAUCGGAACGUGUCCAAUAAUGGGGGAUAACGAGUCGAAAGAUUCGCUAAUACCGCAUACGCCCUACGGGGGAAAGCAGGGGAUCGUAAGACCUUGCGUUAAUGGAGCGGCCGAUAUCUGAUUAGCUUGUUGGUGAGGUAAAGGCUCACCAAGGCGACGAUCAGUAGCUGGUUUGAGAGAACGACCAGCCACACUGGAACUGAGACACGGUCCAGACUCCUACGGGAGGCAGCAGUGGGGAAUUUUGGACAAUGGGGGCAACCCUGAUCCAGCCAUUCCGCGUGAGUGAAGAAGGCCUUCGGGUUGUAAAGCUCUUUCGCGAGGGAAGAAAACUUAUGAUCGAAUAAAUCAUGAGGUUGACGGUACCUUGAUAAGAAGCACCGGCUAACUACGUGCCAGCAGCCGCGGUAAUACGUAGGGUGCGAGCGUUAAUCGGAAUUACUGGGCGUAAAGCGUGCGCAGGCGGUUUUGUAAGUCGGAUGUGAAAUCCCCGGGCUCAACCUGGGAACUGCGUUCGAAACUGCAAGGCUAGAGUGUGUCAGAGGGGGGUAGAAUUCCACGUGUAGCAGUGAAAUGCGUAGAGAUGUGGAGGAAUACCAAUGGCGAAGGCAGCCCCCUGGGAUAACA